GGACUAUCUCAACAAUUUCAACCCUCGCCAAGAUCUCGAAUUUCUCAUCAAGCAAUCUCCUUUGCCCACGCUCUUCACUUAGAGACCAAAAGGGGAUGGUGGU
Long non-coding RNA from Telopea speciosissima, 103 nucleotides. RefSeq lists it as uncharacterized. NCBI's taxonomy places the organism in Eukaryota, Viridiplantae, Streptophyta, Magnoliopsida, Proteales, Proteaceae. The transcript has 3 exons. The record is from RefSeq and is a predicted model, not a curated record.